AUCGAGCUGACGAGUUCGAAAUAGGACGAAACACGUGUCCUGGAU
RNAcentral lists this non-coding RNA (45 nucleotides) under Schistosoma curassoni. Lineage: Eukaryota; Metazoa; Platyhelminthes; Trematoda; Strigeidida; Schistosomatidae. The record is from RNAcentral.